GAUCCGGCUCAGGAUGAACGCUAGCUACAGGCUUAACACAUGCAAGUCGAGGGGCAGCAUGGUCUUAGCUUGCUAAGGCUGAUGGCGACCGGCGCACGGGUGAGUAACACGUAUCCAACCUGCCGUCUACUCUUGGCCAGCCUUCUGAAAGGAAGAUUAAUCCAGGAUGGCAUCAUGAGUUCACAUGUCCGCAUGAUUAAAGGUAUUUUCCGGUAGACGAUGGGGA
Molecule: ribosomal RNA, 226 nt
Filed under: uncultured bacterium
Lineage: Bacteria
Description: partial 16S ribosomal RNA
Rfam family: Bacterial small subunit ribosomal RNA
Source: RNAcentral